UUAGGAAUAUUCGUCAAUGGGGGAAACCCUGAACGAGCAAUGCCGCGUGAACGAUGAAGGCCCUCUGGGUUGUAAAGUUCUGUUGUUAUGGAAGAACUGUAAGAUUAGGAAAUGAAUCUUACUUGACGGUACAUUUCAAGAAAGCCACGGCUAACUACGUGCCAGCAGCCGCGGUAAUACGUAGGUGGCGAGCGUUAUCCGGAUUUAUUGGGCGUAAAGCGUCCGCAGACGGUUUAUUAAGUAUAUAAUUAAAGUCCGAAGCUUAACUUCGGUUCGUUAUAUAAACUGGUAGACUUGAGUACAGUAGAGGCAAGUGGAAUUUCUAGUGUAGCGGUAAAAUGCGUAGAUAUUAGAAGGAACACCAGUGGCGAAGGCGACUUGCUGGGCUGUUACUGACGUUCAUGGACGAAAGCGUGGGGAGCAAAUAGG
RNAcentral lists this ribosomal RNA (429 nucleotides) under uncultured bacterium. RNAcentral's name for it is "bacterial SSU rRNA". It matches the Rfam family "Bacterial small subunit ribosomal RNA", at positions 355 to 776 of the family's 1533-position model. The record is from RNAcentral.